CUCACUCUCUCUCUCUCUUUCCUCCCGCACCCUCUCUCCCUCUCCCGCAACCUCCCUCUCUCUAUCUCCUAAGCUGUCCCCCACUAUGUGCGUGUGUGGGUGAGGAAAUACAGAGAAGGAAAGAAGAAGGAAAAAAAGAAAGAAAUAUCGGAACCCUUUUCCUCUUUCUCUCUCUCCUUUCUCCUUCUUUCUCUUCUUUCUCUUCUUCCUCUUAUCACUGCCAUAGGUUGUGUUGAUGCCAUGGGUCGACCUAUUUGCAGGUCUUAAGUACAUGGCAUGGCAUGGAUCUGACUCAUUUCCAGGGCAUGCCUCGGAAUGAAAAGGUCUCCAAGUAGGUGGAAUCGGUCUAUCAUGUCGAGAAGAACAUAAUGGUAACCCGUUGAACAUUCUGUCCUUUCGGCUGCUAUGGAUUUAAUCAAAAAAUGGCUGCCAGACACGGUGUCAAUCCUGCUGCAAGAACAGCUGAUCUUCAAAUAUGCAAAGCACAAAGUUAUCAUGGGUAGCAAUUGGAACAUUGCUGCAAACAUCAACCCAUAGUGAAGCCUUUUUAGCAAUACAAAGGUUUCGUUAUUCGUAAGAUUCAAUCAUGUACGAUACACCUGAGCUGCAUAAAUAGAAUGAAACUAGGAAUGCUGAUGUCUGACAUUACGGUUAAGUAAAACAGUUGUAAUCAUAUUUAAAAUUUAUCCAAGAAUACAUGAUAAGCUUAAGGAAGUUAUUUCAUAAAGAGUGAUUUUUCUGUCAA
Elaeis guineensis (African oil palm) is the source of this 745-nucleotide long non-coding RNA. RefSeq lists it as uncharacterized. The record is from RefSeq and is a predicted model, not a curated record. NCBI's taxonomy places the organism in Eukaryota, Viridiplantae, Streptophyta, Magnoliopsida, Arecales, Arecaceae.